UGUAGGGAAAGUAUGCUAUUCUAAAGUAAAGCUAGGUUCCACCGAGAAAAAGUAGAGCUAAGAAGUAUAUUUUUAUAAUUCCUAUGUUGGCUUUUGCAUAUAUUGAAAAGAUUUGCCUUUGCACCAUUGCCUCCUCAUCUUUCUUUUCUUUCUUUCUUUCUUUAUUCUUUUUUCUUUUCUGUUUUUCUGAAAGGAAGGGGAGAAAGGUGAGGAAGGC
RNAcentral lists this long non-coding RNA (217 nucleotides) under Elaeis guineensis (African oil palm). RNAcentral's name for it is "long non-coding RNA (EGUI_LNC019778)". The record is from RNAcentral. Lineage: Eukaryota; Viridiplantae; Streptophyta; Magnoliopsida; Arecales; Arecaceae.